Molecule: long non-coding RNA, 3633 nt
Organism: Homo sapiens (human)
Lineage: Eukaryota; Metazoa; Chordata; Mammalia; Primates; Hominidae
Exons: 2
Source: RefSeq, a predicted model, not a curated record
UUACAGGAUCAACUUCCUAGAAGUGCAGGAGCAGCACAAGGAAGUAACAGGAAGAGCCUUUCCUGAGGCUGAUCACACACAAGAGCUCCCGCACACAGACAGCAGCGCUGCAGGCUGGCACAGGCACGCGGCAGGGCCUCAGGAGCUCGGCAGGGGCCUAAAGCCGGACCUCUCCGUCUUCUCUGCUCCACUCUGCAAGGCACUGCUCCCUGAAGACCACCAGCAGCCAAGCCCCUGCCCAGCAGCGCUGCCAGAGUGGCCACUGGGGAGAGCAGCAGACAGAGGCCACAGCCGCUCUCAGCCACCCCAGACCUCCCUGGCCUCAGGUAAGCCACACUCUCCAUAACACGUUGGCCAGCACCAGCACCCUCCAGCCGCGCUGUUCUCCUCCGAAGAGGAGCAGGACAAGAGGGACGUGCGUGUUCACAGCUGCCUCGGGAAACACACGGUCUCCCUGGAUAGGAGGAGGACCCUCGGCUCCUCUCAGGCUUCGCUCUGAUGCAAGAAUCUAGACUAUGAGACGCUGGCCACGUGCUGCACACCCAGGGAAGUAACCGGGUUGAGGUCCCUCUCCGGACGCUACUGAGUAUUUGGUAAGAUGGAACAGCAGUGGGCAGGAACAAGAGAAAAGCGCCUGUCACCGAGACCCUUCGGAGCCUACACCAGCGUGUGCCUCACAACGAGCUGCUUACCAGCGUGUGCCUCACAACGAGCUGCUUGUCGGACACAGGCAGUGGCGCUUACACCCGGGUGCGUGAGGGAACCCAGGAGCCACAGUGGAGGCGCACCCAGGACGUCCAAAAGACGAAGCCCCACGAGAUCAAAGCCAAGCGGGCCCCAGGCCAACGCUGGCCCCGCCACAUGCCGGGGAGGCCCUGCUGGUGCUCGCGGGGCGUGCGGGGCAGAGGGGACCCAGCACAGUAGCCUGAGCCUGCCACCAGGGGCAUCUGCCACCGGCGCCCCGCCCCGCCCAGACCAAAAGGAGCAGUGCACUUCCAGGUGGAAGCUUCAGACGCUGCAUCCCAUGACCCCUUCAGGCGUCUUGUAGUGAGCAGGGGACGCUCGGCUCCUGAACAGCUGCAGGAGGAGCUUCUAAGACUUGGGCAUAAUUCUGAAGUCAGUUUCCCUAGUUCAUUUUCCUAGUAAAAGUUGUCAGGUGAAGUGCGGGUGUGAAACCUUGUGAUGAUUCAGCCGUGGGCUCACACACCCAUGACGGACAGUGACACUGAGUCGCCUUCCUCGGUGUCCCGCCUCCAGCUCCUUCAUGCACAACAAGAAAGGAAGCACCUGCCUUCUUCAGCACAAAAGAACUCAUUUCAGUCCAAAAGCAGUGUACAAAACCAGCGCACACGGUUGAAUUGAAUUGAAUCGUUUCCUGCGCUGGGGACACAUGUUUUGCAUGUUUCCUAAGCAAAAAGUAUCAGAUCCUGAAAGUCCCUGGCACAGGACACCACUACGGGGCUCAGCUGGGUGCGCGCACUGGACACCGAGGCAGGAGCCCCGCCCGCCACAGGCCGCACAGCUUCUGGGGUUCUGGUGAUCCCAUGAAACCUGCUGGCUUCAGUUUUCUCAUCAGGAAGCCAGAGGGAAAAAGUGUCUCCCUACCUCCCAGAGGUUCUGAAGUGUUCACUUACAUCUCAGAGGAGCUGACAUCAGGCAUGCCAGCGAAGGCUAUUGCUACUGAACAUUCUCUCAAGUGCUGGUCCACAAAAACACAAAAUCCAGCUCCUCAACAAAAACAAACACCAUCUGAAGACUGCCAUGUCCAACAUGCCUGCUGUAUUCCAGAGGAACUUGAAAGGAGAUAGAGACAGAAUUCGCCUCUCGCCAAGACCCACGACCGCAGGGAGCACGCACAGGCGAUUCCCGUGCCCCACUUGCUUCCUCCCACGCCACCCAGCGUGCCGAUCACCUGCGCCCAAGAAUCUGCUGCCUGCAGGGUGACCAAGACCUCCGGAAUGUUCCUCCACACACUUCUGCUCUGGUUGUCGAUCACCUGCGCCCAAGAAUCCACUGCCUGCAGGGUGGCCAAGACCUCCAGAAUGUUCCUCCACACACUUCUGCUCUGGUUGCUCACCCACAGAAAAGGAGCUUGACCUCCAAGCGGUGGCUUUGUCACAGAUCCUCUGGCCAAGUAAUUUCACCUUUUCACGAGCAUCUGCUGUGCACACCUCUCAUGGAGGAAACGACACACGGCGCCGUCAGGGGGCACGGCGCAUCCGAUGUACCUCGACGAAUGGGCCUACCUCGAGAUUGCAGUCACAAAGGGCUUCAGCUCCUGAGGCUCAUAGGCACGCGCGAAGGCCCAGCACACGUAGCAGGCGGCGUCCCUGACGUUGGUGCCCACGCUGCAGGCACCCCGCUUCUCGUCGUAGGUCAGCGCCUUCAGGAUCACGGCGACAACUGGGCAAGGACAAGAGAAAAGACGGUGAGGAGCAGACCACACGGGCAACACGUGAGGCUUCAGAGAAGUGGGGCUCAGGGCCGGAGCGCGGUCACGGUGCCAGAUGAGUGAGGCACGCAAGCGACACGGAGCCCACCCAGAGGUUCGGGGCUCCUGUUAGACCCACGGCCUGGUCAGAAAACAAACCUACGAAAGGAAGAUGCAUGCUCACCAACUCAGAUCCAGUGAAAGGAUUUUUUUCAAGUGCCAUGAAGCAAAAGCUCCUUCAGAAUAGCACAUGAUACCACCCAGGGGUCUGCCGAGUCUGAGGAGACUCAAGGAAACGCAGCUCCUGCCAGGCAGGGAGGAAGAGGAGCCCCUGGUUCAGGGGAGGGAGAGGCGCCCCUGGUUCAGGGGAGGGAGAGACGCAGAUGCCAGGCAGUGCCUGGAAUUGUACUGUCGUGGACACGCAAAGGCAGAGCGUCCCAGGGGAUGCCUGGCUCUGCCCAGAGCAGGUCUGGGGUGAACCAGGAUGAAAAUGCAAAGCCGGCCACGGCUCCUACAGUGCUGACUUCAAGAAUAACCCAUGCAGGGCUCCUAUGCAAAACAGCCACGCAGAGAAAUCCGAGGUUCAUGUAUUUCAAGUGCUUUGGAAUAAAUACUUGAGAUCAACUGCUGAACAAAGAAAACGGAACACAGCUAUGAAGCCAGCAAUGGAGACCCACGGAGCCAGGGGGAGCACCCAAGCCUCCAACCCAGCUCAGCCUCCCCAGAUAAGCACUCCUCCCCAGGUGGCCCUCACGCUGAAGCACCCACACACCAAGGCCUCAUUCAGGGCUCUGCACACGACCCGCUCCACGCACACGCCAGGGUCUCGUUCGGGGCUCUGCACACGACCCGCUCCACGCACACGCCAGGGUCUCGUUCGGGGCUCUGCACACGACCCGCUCCACGCACACGCCGUCUGUACACUUCACACCCACCAAUCAAGUUCACUAACACUACACACAGUCUGAGAAAAGGCACUCCCGGGAUGGAUACAUGAGAGGCCGGUUAUCUGCACAUGCAACUGUCAUCAGAUACAUUAUCUCCCAGAAAAAUGCACCUAGAAAUGGUCUUAGGCAAAACACCAUAAGCAACAACUGUAGGACUACGAAUAUUAUAUGCAAAUUUCCCCUCUGACUUUUUGCAUCUAAGGAUCUUUUAUUCUCUAUAAACAGCAAUAAAAAUGGAUGUUUCUGCACAGUGUA